UACGGUGAAUACGUUCCCGGACCUUGCACACACCGCCCGUCAAGCCAUGGAAGCCGGGUGUACCUAAAGUCGGUAACCGUAAAGAGCCGCCUAGGGUAAAACUGGUGACUGGGGCU
This 116-nucleotide ribosomal RNA is filed under the name uncultured bacterium. RNAcentral's name for it is "partial 16S ribosomal RNA". It matches the Rfam family "Bacterial small subunit ribosomal RNA", at positions 1358 to 1482 of the family's 1533-position model. The record is from RNAcentral.